UCGCCUCUUGCAACAAUCAAGUAUAAGAGGUCCCGCCUGCCCAGUGACUAAUUUCAACGGCCGCGGUAUCAUGACCGUGCAAAGGUAGCGUAAUCACUUGUCUUUUAAAUAAAGACCUGUAUGAAAGGCAAAACGAAAGUUCAACUGUCUCUUUAAUCCAAUCAAUAAAAUUUAUCUCUCCGUGCAGAAGCGGAAAUAAAUAUAUAAGACGAGAAGACCCUAUGGAGCUUUAAACACACUAUUAACUACUACAAUAUUUUAAACCAACAGGCAAAAAAUCAUAAACCACAUAGUCAUAAUAUAAGUUUUAGGUUGGGGCGACCGCGGAAGAAAAAAAAUCCUCCGAGAUAAACAAUUUAGAAUAACACUUCGAAAAUUAAAACAUUUAUUAUAAAUGAUCCACUAAGUGACCAACGAACCAAGUUACCCUAGGGAUAACAGCGCAAUCCUUUCUAAGAGUCCGUAUCGACGAA
This 473-nucleotide ribosomal RNA is filed under the name Tylototriton asperrimus (black knobby newt). RNAcentral's name for it is "partial 16S ribosomal RNA". It matches the Rfam family "Bacterial large subunit ribosomal RNA", at positions 1816 to 2512 of the family's 2925-position model. The record is from RNAcentral. Lineage: Eukaryota; Metazoa; Chordata; Amphibia; Caudata; Salamandridae.